This 446-nucleotide ribosomal RNA is filed under the name Caerostris mitralis. Its description in RNAcentral is "partial 16S ribosomal RNA". It matches the Rfam family "Bacterial large subunit ribosomal RNA", at positions 1827 to 2599 of the family's 2925-position model. Lineage: Eukaryota; Metazoa; Arthropoda; Arachnida; Araneae; Araneidae. The record is from RNAcentral.
CAUUUCUUAUAGAAUUUUUAUAAGUAACACCUGCUCCAUGAAUUUUAAAUAGCCGCAGAAAUUUUACUGUGCUAAGGUAGCAUAAUCAUUAGCCUCUUAAUUGGAGGCUUGUAUGAAAGGUGAAACAAUUUAAUUUCUUUUAUAUUAUUUUUCUUUUAAUUUAUAUUAAAAAUUAAAAUAUUUUUAUAAAUAAAGAAGACGACAAGACCCUAUUGAACUUUACUUUAGUUUAGCUGGGGCAGCUACUUAAUUAUUAUUUUAAUUUUAAAUUUCCAAUAAAUGACCUUUUACAAUUGAUUAUUUGAUUAAGUUACCAUAGGGAUAACAGCGUAAUUUUAUUCUAGAGAUCUUAUCUAAAUUAAAGAUUGCGACCUCGAUGUUGAAUUAAUGUUGCUCAUGGGCGCAAUAGCUCAAAAAGUUGGUCUGUUCGACCAUUCAUACAUUAC